AUGAACGCUUGCGGCGUGCUUAACACAUGCAAGUCGAACGAAGCACCUCUCCCGAAGCUUGACACAGCUUGCUGUAGAUUGAUUCAUUUGAGGUGACUGAGUGGCGGACGGGUGAGUAACGCGUGGGUAACCUGCCUCAUAGAGGGGGACAACAGUUGGAAACGACUGCUAAUACCGCAUAGUAAGAAGAAUUCGCAUGUUUUCUUCUUGAAAGAUUUAUCGCUAUGAGAUGGACCCGCGUCUGAUUAGCUAGUUGGUAAGGUAACGGCUUACCAAGGCGACGAUCAGUAGCCGGCUUGAGAGAGUGAACGGCCACAUUGGGACUGAGACACGGCCCAAACUCCUACGGGAGGCAGCAGUGGGGAAUAUUGCACAAUGGGGGAAACCCUGAUGCAGCGACGCCGCGUGAGUGAAGAAGUAUUUCGGUAUGUAAAGCUCUAUCAGCAGGGAAGAUAAUGACGGUACCUGACGAAGAAGCCCCGGCUAACUACGUG
This 494-nucleotide ribosomal RNA is filed under the name uncultured bacterium. RNAcentral describes it as "partial 16S ribosomal RNA". It matches the Rfam family "Bacterial small subunit ribosomal RNA", at positions 29 to 507 of the family's 1533-position model. The record is from RNAcentral.